RNAcentral lists this ribosomal RNA (834 nucleotides) under Perforatella incarnata. RNAcentral describes it as "Monachoides incarnatus partial large subunit ribosomal RNA". The record is from RNAcentral. Lineage: Eukaryota; Metazoa; Mollusca; Gastropoda; Stylommatophora; Hygromiidae.
AAUUAUUAUUAGAUUUUUAAAUAAUUAUUCACGAAAUAAAUUGAGCUAAAUUUUUGGUAUUUUUGGAAAUUAUAACUAUAUGUUACAAAAUAUAUUAACUAAAUAGAUUUAGGGGUGAAAGGCCUAUCAAAUUUUAUGAUAUCUUGAAGUAUAUAAAAUAUAUCAAGUAUUUCUAAUUCAACUAUUGAAUGUUUAGGUUCAAUAGUAACAUUAUAUUUUUUAAAAAAUUGUUCAAUUUUUUUAAGUAAAAUUGAGUUAGAGCAUAAAAUAUACAUCAAAUUUUUAUUAUAUGAAUAUAAAUAUACUACGGUUAUUAAUAAAUAUAAUCAUAUAUAAUGUAAUUAUUAGUAAUAGUUUAUUAAACUAUAUAAAGGAAUUCGGCAAGAAAAUUUUUCACCUGUUUAUCAAAAACAUAGCUUAUUGAAUAUCAUAAUAAGUAACCCCUGCUCAAUGGAAAUCUAAAUAGCCGCAGUACCUUGACUGUGCAAAGGUAGCAUAAUCAAUUGGCUUAUAAUUGAAGUCUGGAAUGAAUGGGUAAUCUGGAAAAUAACUGUCUUUAUUUGUAGUAUUUUGAAUUUACUUAUAAAGUGAAAAUACUUUAAUAUAAAUAUAAGACGAGAAGACCCUAGAAAUUUUUUGUUAAUAACUUUUGUUGGGGCGACAGGGUAACAUAUAAACUUACUUACAUUUAUAUAAAUCUUAUAAGGUACGUAACUAAAUUACUCUAGGGAUAACAGCAUAAUAUAUAAAAGUUUAUGACCUCGAUGUUGGACUAGGUAAUUAAAUAUUUAAAAGAUAUCUUAAUUUGCUCUGUUCGAGCAGUACCACCUACAU